This 55-nucleotide transfer RNA is filed under the name Stygobromus foliatus. RNAcentral describes it as "tRNA-Ser". Lineage: Eukaryota; Metazoa; Arthropoda; Malacostraca; Amphipoda; Crangonyctidae. The record is from RNAcentral.
AAAGUGUUUAAAAUUAGAUUUCUAAUCUAAACCUAGCUAAAUUAGCUACACUUUA